RNAcentral lists this long non-coding RNA (564 nucleotides) under Populus trichocarpa (black cottonwood). RNAcentral describes it as "long non-coding RNA (PTRI_LNC004183)". Lineage: Eukaryota; Viridiplantae; Streptophyta; Magnoliopsida; Malpighiales; Salicaceae. The record is from RNAcentral.
CCUUUUCCUUGCUCUCAUCUUCCUUCGGUUUUCCAUUCACAUUCUCAAUUUUGUGAGCAUCCAUCUGAACAGCCUCAUUUGUCACGCCAUUAAACUGUUCCAUUGCAUUUUCUGUUUUCAGCUCACUAGUUUGCUGUGGUGGAAGCUCCUCCACUUUGGGCUUCUCUUCUCUCACAUGUCCAUUUUCUUCGGAGAACUCAAUCAUCUUUGGAAGCAAAUCAUAGUCCUUUUCACUGUCUGUUAGCUCCGCAUUUUCCACCGUUUGAAUUUUAGCCAUAGCUUCCUCAAGUAACUUAGACAACUCCUCAACCUUCUUAAGUGAAGAAGCUUCCUUAGUUCGGAGCUCUUUGUUUUCCAGAAUAAUAUUCUGUAACUCAUUUUCUUUGGCCAAUAAACUUUCUUUUAGUUUCAUGCUCUCAACCUUUGCUUCCCCAAGAGCUUCCUGCAAAGAUAUCACCUCAGCUUCAACUUCCUUCAGGCUAUCCUUCAAAUGAGCUUCUUCAUCCCUCAUUCCACAAGCUUCUUCCUCAGUUUGCUUCUGCAAAUUCACCAACCUAUCUAUUU